UGAUGAUGAUUCUUCAGUAUUCUGCGCUGUGAUAUGUCUGUGUGAUAUGUCUGUUUCAUAUUUUGGAGGUGACUAUUGCCUUUGUCGAUCUGCAUACAGACAUGUUCUUGUGUUUUG
Long non-coding RNA from Daphnia pulicaria, 117 nucleotides. RefSeq lists it as uncharacterized. The record is from RefSeq and is a predicted model, not a curated record. The transcript is spliced from 3 exons. Lineage: Eukaryota; Metazoa; Arthropoda; Branchiopoda; Diplostraca; Daphniidae.